CCUACGGGAGGCAGCAGUGGGGAAUAUUGGACAAUGGGCGCAAGCCUGAUCCAGCAAUGCCGCGUGUGUGAAGAAGGCCUGCGGGUUGUAAAGCACUUUCGGUUGGGAAGAAGUUUGGCUUGUUAAUAUCAAACCAAAUUGACAUUACCUUCAGAAGAAGCACCGGCUAGCUCCGUGCCAGCAGCCGCGGUAAUACGGAGGGUGCGAGCGUUAAUCGGAAUUACUGGGCGUAAAGCGCGCGUAGGUGGUUGGGUAAGUCGGAUGUGAAAGCCCUGGGCUUAACCUAGGAACGGCACUCGAUACUGCCCGACUAGAGUAUGGUAGAGGAAAGCGGAAUUCCCGGUGUAGCGGUGAAAUGCGUAGAUAUCGGGAGGAACAUCAGUGGCGAAGGCGGCUUUCUGGACCAAUACUGACACUGAGGCGCGAAAGCGUGGGUAGCAAACAGGAUUAGAUACCCUGGUAGUCCACGCCCUAAACGAUGUCAACUAGCCGUUAGGUUCAUUUAAGAGCUUAGUGGCGCAGCUAACGCGAUAAGUUGACCGCCUGGGGAGGACGGCCGCGAGUAAACGUACGAAUAGAGUAGACGGCGUAGACGUGCCGACGGACGACGACGAGGGAGGAGG
This 623-nucleotide ribosomal RNA is filed under the name uncultured bacterium. RNAcentral describes it as "bacterial SSU rRNA". The stretch from base 1 to 544 matches the Rfam family "Bacterial small subunit ribosomal RNA", at positions 338 to 873 of the family's 1533-position model. The record is from RNAcentral.